GGCUCAGGAUGAACGCUGGCGGCGUGCCUAAUACAUGCAAGUCGAACGAGUUCUCGUUGAUGAUCGGUGCUUGCACCGAGAUUCAACAUGGAACGAGUGGCGGACGGGUGAGUAACACGUGGGUAACCUGCCCUUAAGUGGGGGAUAACAUUUGGAAACAGAUGCUAAUACCGCAUAGAUCCAAGAACCGCAUGGUUCUUGGCUGAAAGAUGGCGUAAGCUAUCGCUUUUGGAUGGACCCGCGGCGUAUUAGCUAGUUGGUGAGGUAAUGGCUCACCAAGGCGAUGAUACGUAGCCGAACUGAGAGGUUGAUCGGCCACAUUGGGACUGAGACACGGCCCAAACUCCUACGGGAGGCAGCAGUAGGGAAUCUUCCACAAUGGACGCAAGUCUGAUGGAGCAACGCCGCGUGAGUGAAGAAGGCUUUCGGGUCGUAAAACUCUGUUGUUGGAGAAGAAUGGUCGGCAGAGUAACUGUUGUCGGCGUGACGGUAUCCAACCAGAAAGCCACGGCUAACUACGUGCCAGCAGCCGCGGUAAUACGUAGGUGGCAAGCGUUAUCCGGAUUUAUUGGGCGUAAAGCGAGCGCAGGCGGUUUUUUAAGUCUGAUGUGAAAGCCCUCGGCUUAACCGAGGAAGCGCAUCGGAAACUGGGAAACUUGAGUGCAGAAGAGGACAGUGGAACUCCAUGUGUAGCGGUGAAAUGCGUAGAUAUAUGGAAGAACACCAGUGGCGAAGGCGGCUGUCUGGUCUGUAACUGACGCUGAGGCUCGAAAGCAUGGGUAGCGAACAGGAUUAGAUACCCUGGUAGUCCAUGCCGUAAACGAUGAAUGCUAGGUGUUGGAGGGUUUCCGCCCUUCAGUGCCGCAGCUAACGCAUUAAGCAUUCCGCCUGGGGAGUACGACCGCAAGGUUGAAACUCAAAGGAAUUGACGGGGGCCCGCACAAGCGGUGGAGCAUGUGGUUUAAUUCGAAGCAACGCGAAGAACCUUACCAGGUCUUGACAUCUUUUGAUCACCUGAGAGAUCAGGUUUCCCCUUCGGGGGCAAAAUGACAGGUGGUGCAUGGUUGUCGUCAGCUCGUGUCGUGAGAUGUUGGGUUAAGUCCCGCAACGAGCGCAACCCUUAUGACUAGUUGCCAGCAUUUAGUUGGGCACUCUAGUAAGACUGCCGGUGACAAACCGGAGGAAGGUGGGGAUGACGUCAAAUCAUCAUGCCCCUUAUGACCUGGGCUACACACGUGCUACAAUGGAUGGUACAACGAGUUGCGAGACCGCGAGGUCAAGCUAAUCUCUUAAAGCCAUUCUCAGUUCGGACUGUAGGCUGCAACUCGCCUACACGAAGUCGGAAUCGCUAGUAAUCGCGGAUCAGCACGCCGCGGUGAAUACGUUCCCGGGCCUUGUACACACCGCCCGUCACACCAUGAGAGUUUGUAACACCCGAAGCCGGUGGCGUAACCCUUUUAGGGAGCGAGCCGUCUAAGGU
This 1480-nucleotide ribosomal RNA is filed under the name Lacticaseibacillus paracasei. RNAcentral describes it as "bacterial SSU rRNA". It matches the Rfam family "Bacterial small subunit ribosomal RNA". The record is from RNAcentral. Lineage: Bacteria; Bacillati; Bacillota; Bacilli; Lactobacillales; Lactobacillaceae.